This 506-nucleotide ribosomal RNA is filed under the name uncultured bacterium. RNAcentral's name for it is "partial 16S ribosomal RNA". It matches the Rfam family "Bacterial small subunit ribosomal RNA", at positions 29 to 523 of the family's 1533-position model. The record is from RNAcentral.
AGUGAACGCUGGCGGUAGGCCUAACACAUGCAAGUCGAACGGCAGCACAGGAGAGCUUGCUCUCUGGGUGGCGAGUGGCGGACGGGGGAGGAAUACAUCGGAAUCUACUCUGUCGUGGGGGAUGGAGUAGGGAAACUUACGCUAAUACCGCAUACGACCCACGGGUGAAAGCAGGGGACCUUCUGUCCGUGCGCGAGCGAAGGAGCUGAUUGCGGGAUAUCUAGUUGGCGGGGUAAAGGCCCACCAAGGCGACGAUGCGUAGCUGGUCUGAGGGGAUGAUCCGGCACACUGGAAAUGAGACACGGUCCAGACUCCUACGGGGGGCAACAGUGGGGAAUAUUGGACAAUGGGCGCAAGCCUGAUCCAGCCAUACCGCGUGGGUGAAGAAAGCCUUCGGGUUGUAAAGCCCUUUUGUUGGGAAAGAAAUCCAGCAGGCUAAUACCCGGUUGGGAUGACGGUACCCAAAGAAUAAGCACCGGCUAACUUCGUGCCAGCCGCCGCCGUAA